RNAcentral lists this ribosomal RNA (107 nucleotides) under Labrus bergylta (ballan wrasse). The record is from RNAcentral. Lineage: Eukaryota; Metazoa; Chordata; Actinopteri; Labriformes; Labridae.
GCUUACGGCCAUACCACCCUGAACGUCCGAUCUCGGAAGCUAAGCAGGGUCGGGCCUGGUUAGUACUUGGAUGGGAGACCGCCUGGGAAUACCAGGUGCUGUAAGCU